AGCAGAGUGGUGCAGCAGAAGAAUGCAGGGCUCAUAACACUGAGGUCAAUGGUUCAAAACCAUCUUCUGCUA
Non-coding RNA from Cnephaeus nilssonii (northern bat), 72 nucleotides. The record is from the annotation of a GenBank genome assembly. Lineage: Eukaryota; Metazoa; Chordata; Mammalia; Chiroptera; Vespertilionidae.